AAUGCAAAAUCACAUUAUGCAGCGUUACGACAGCGUAUAUUCGGUACUGCCUUUCGAGUAGAGCUGAGACUAUUCGACAAUAUUUCACGUGCUCUCACAAGAGGCUUUGAAACGGUGUAACUAUCUUCUUCCAUGGCAUCCCAUUGUACGUUAGCGAGAAAGGCAAGAUUGGAGCCCAGUGAUGAGUCUAUCUGAAAAUAGAAUCUCAUAAAAACUUUGCUUUCCUCGGUUUGGAAAAGUGCUGUCCUUAUUCAAGCACUGUCAAUUAUUUUAAAAAGUUAUGUGCCUUCUCGAUCAUCGCGUGUCGCAAGUGAAGAGUGGUGCCUUCAAGUAGCCAAACGUCCGUCCAGUUCUUCAUGUUCACGACGCCGCCCAACCAUUGUUCUCCUAUCAGGCUU
Molecule: long non-coding RNA, 398 nt
Organism: Monomorium pharaonis (pharaoh ant)
Lineage: Eukaryota; Metazoa; Arthropoda; Insecta; Hymenoptera; Formicidae
Exons: 3
Source: RefSeq, a predicted model, not a curated record